GAUUUUAGGUUGGUGCCGGAUCCAUCAAUCAUGUGGUAAGUUCAUUGUACAUACAAAAGAUCACUAAAAAUUCACUGAGAUGGGCCACCCCACUAGGAACAAUCUAGAAUUGCACCGAAUCCAACACAUGAAGGUGAUAUUGAGGUUCCAUUUUGUAGAGAGGGUUGAGAUGAGGUGUGUGCCCAAUCAACGAUCACAAUUGCCUAUUUUUUAAAUGUGUUUGAGAGAGUUUAGGCUUUGAAUUUGGGUUGUCUUUGAAUAAUUCAAACUAUUUAUACGAUGUUUCUUAUAUGGUAGAUAGAUAACCAAUAAAAUCUUUACAUAUGAUUGAUACAUUCAAUCGAAGAGAUUUUUGGGUCAUCCCGCAUUCGGGAUGUCAAUGGGUUCUAGACCCAUGGGUCCGGGUACUUGAUGGACCUGGCAUAACUUUAAGGGGUCUAGGUCCCAUAGAUAAAUUUGAACAGGCCAUAUAUUUCCUUUCCUUUUCUUUAAAAAUUUUAGGUACUGUCAUUAACAAUAAGAGUUGGGCUUUUGGCAUGGCUUUAUCCUUGGGCAGGUAUUCUAAGCUCGAUUGGAUGGAUAUAUUAGCAAACUGAAGAAUAUAUCAAUGGUCAAUUGAAAAAUAAACAUGGUGGUACUUUUAUCCGAGUAAAUAAUGGUAACAUAGGUCCAUUUUUACUAAUAAAUGUGAUUUUUUUCUUUUGAUUGAUGAGGGAUGGGGACCAAGGAUUGAUGCCCAAUCAACGAUCACAAUUGCAUAUUUUUUUAAAACAUGUUUGAGAGUUUAGGCUUUGAAUUUGGGUUGUCUUUGAAUAAUUCAAACUAUUUAUAUGACGUUUCUUAUAUGGUAGAUAGAUAACCAAUAAAAUCUUUACAUAUGAUUGAUACAUUCAAUCGAAAAGAUUUUUGGGUCAUCCCACAUUUGGGAUGUCAAUGGGUAUGGGUCCGGGUACUUGAUGGACCUAGCAUAACUUUAAGGGGUCCAGGUCCCAUAGAUAAAUUUGAACAGGCCAUAUAUUUCCUUUCAUUUUCUUUGAAGGGUCCAGGUACUUGAUGGACCUGGCAUAACUUUUAAGGGGUCCAGGUCCCAUAUAUAAAUUUGAACAGGCCAUAUAUUUCCUUUCAUUUUCUUUGAAAAUUUUAGGUACUAUCAUUAACGAUAAGAGUUGGGCUUUUGGCAUGGCUUUAUCCUUGGGCCGGUAUUCUAAGCUUGAUUGGAUGGAUAUAUUAGCAAACUGAAGAAUAAAUCAAUGGUCAACUGAAAAAUAAACAUGGUGGUACUUUCAUCCAAGGAAAUAAUGGUAGCAUAGGUCCAUUUUUACUAAGAAAUGUGAUUGUGUUUUUACUUUUGAUUGAUGAGGGAUGGGGACCAAGGAUUGAUGAUGACUUGCCCAAGCUGCCUAUGACUCAUCCCAGUCUCAAUUGGAAUCAUGACCAAAUGAUUCAGCUGGAAUUGUUGAGUCAAAACACAAUGAUGAGGGCAUCUACUUUCUUUAUUGAUGCAGUUCUCUAUUUAUCAGUACAUGCCAAGUAACCAAACUGUGGCACUACCGAAGAACAUAAAGAGGCGAGGUAUGGAAUAAUCCAUGAAGAUAAGGAAACCAUUUCCUUUGAACUUUGCUUACUAGUUAUCUUGCAUUAUGCAAUGAAAAGGCCAAAUUGACAUGUGGGUUUUGAGUUCCGACUUGAAUAGGCUUGGGCCUGUAAGGACUCACUGACGAGCUUAGGCUAGAUUUAGCCUAGGUCGGCCUUGCCUAUGGGUCAACUGACUCAGACCGCUUUU
Magnolia sinica is the source of this 1783-nucleotide long non-coding RNA. RefSeq lists it as uncharacterized. The transcript has 2 exons. NCBI's taxonomy places the organism in Eukaryota, Viridiplantae, Streptophyta, Magnoliopsida, Magnoliales, Magnoliaceae. The record is from RefSeq and is a predicted model, not a curated record.